RNAcentral lists this ribosomal RNA (372 nucleotides) under uncultured bacterium. RNAcentral describes it as "bacterial SSU rRNA". It matches the Rfam family "Bacterial small subunit ribosomal RNA", at positions 524 to 898 of the family's 1533-position model. The record is from RNAcentral.
UACGUAGGGGGCAAGCGUUAUCCGGAAUCACUGGGUGUAAAGGGUGCGUAGGCGGUACGGCAAGUCAGAUGUGAAAACCCGGGGCUCAACCUCGGGAGUGCAUUUGAAACUGUCGGACUAGAGUGCAGGAGAGGAAAGUGGAAUUCCUAGUGUAGCGGUGAAAUGCGUAGAUAUUAGGAGGAACACCAGUGGCGAAGGCGACUUUCUGGACUGUAACUGACGCUGAGGCACGAAAGCGUGGGGAGCGAACAGGAUUAGAUACCCUGGUAGUCCACGCCGUAAACGAUGAGUGCUAGGUGUCGGGGGUCAAACCUCGGUGCCGCAGUUAACACAAUAAGCACUCCACCUGGGGAGUACGAUCGCAAGAUUGAA